UACAGAGGUCCCAAGCGUUGUUCGGAUUCACUGGGCGUAAAGGGUGCGUAGGCGGUCGGGCAAGUCUGAUGUGAAAUCUCCAAGCUCAACUUGGAAAUGGCGUCGGAUACUAUUCGGCUUGAGGAGUGGAGGGGAGACUGGAAUUCUCGGUGUAGCAGUGAAAUGCGUAGAUAUCGAGAGGAACACCAGUGGCGAAGGCGAGUCUCUGGACACUUCCUGACGCUGAGGCACGAAAGCCAGGGGAGCAAACGGG
This 253-nucleotide ribosomal RNA is filed under the name uncultured bacterium. RNAcentral's name for it is "partial 16S ribosomal RNA". It matches the Rfam family "Bacterial small subunit ribosomal RNA", at positions 524 to 776 of the family's 1533-position model. The record is from RNAcentral.